GUGUUCAAUUCAGCAGCAUAUAUGACAAAAUUGGACCUAUACAAAGAUUAGCAUGGCCCCUGUGCAAGGAUGACUCCAAAAUUUGGGAAGUAUUCCAUAUUUUU
Small nuclear RNA from Capra hircus (goat), 104 nucleotides. The record is from Ensembl. Lineage: Eukaryota; Metazoa; Chordata; Mammalia; Artiodactyla; Bovidae.